This 501-nucleotide ribosomal RNA is filed under the name Mycobacterium lentiflavum. Its description in RNAcentral is "bacterial SSU rRNA". It matches the Rfam family "Bacterial small subunit ribosomal RNA", at positions 1 to 522 of the family's 1533-position model. The record is from RNAcentral. Lineage: Bacteria; Bacillati; Actinomycetota; Actinomycetes; Mycobacteriales; Mycobacteriaceae.
UGGAGAGUUUGAUCCUGGCUCAGGACGAACGCUGGCGGCGUGCUUAACACAUGCAAGUCGAACGGAAAGGCCUCUUCGGAGGUACUCGAGUGGCGAACGGGUGAGUAACACGUGGGUAAUCUGCCCUGCACUUCGGGAUAAGCCUGGGAAACUGGGUCUAAUACCGGAUAGGACCUUUUGGCGCAUGCCUUUUGGUGGAAAGCUUUUGCGGUGUGGGAUGGGCCCGCGGCCUAUCAGCUUGUUGGUGGGGUGACGGCCUACCAAGGCGACGACGGGUAGCCGGCCUGAGAGGGUGUCCGGCCACACUGGGACUGAGAUACGGCCCAGACUCCUACGGGAGGCAGCAGUGGGGAAUAUUGCACAAUGGGCGCAAGCCUGAUGCAGCGACGCCGCGUGGGGGAUGACGGCCUUCGGGUUGUAAACCUCUUUCAGCAGGGACGAAGCGCAAGUGACGGUACCUGCAGAAGAAGCACCGCCAACUACGUGCCAGCAGCCGCGGUA